This 1194-nucleotide long non-coding RNA is filed under the name Numida meleagris (helmeted guineafowl). RNAcentral describes it as "lncRNA (ENSNMEG00000014813.1)". Lineage: Eukaryota; Metazoa; Chordata; Aves; Galliformes; Numididae. The record is from RNAcentral.
CUGUUUUCUGAUGCUAGGUGAGAAGGGUUCAGCAGGUGCUGAAAAUGAGACUUUUGCAGUGCCUGGAGGAGAGAGACGGGUACCCCACAGCUCUUUGCUGCAACCACCAGGAAUUGAUAUCCAAUUUUAGAAGACUGUUUCUGCUUGCAAACAUUCCUCAAGCCAUUGCUGUAGAUUUUGCAGCCCACUCCUAGCUGUGGAGAACCCUGAAUGAGCUAAUUGCGAGCCAUCAGCAUUCAUCUUUCUCCUUCUGCAGACUGUAAGUAUCAGAAAACCUCACUGAUUGUUCUAGAUUUUAACCUCGUGAAAGGAAAUGACUUGCCUAUUGAUUUCCCAAACUGCAGUUUUGGUUAUGAAUAGAACCACGUUGCAUUUAAUACAGUUAUUAUUCUAAAAGGGCUCUUCUUUGCCCCCAGUGAAGUGCGGGAAACAUUUUCCCCUUUCUUAAAAUAUGUCUUGCUUACUUCCAGGUUUUGAUCACUAUCGUUUCAACUUUUUAUUGAAAUUGUGAGUCUGACACAACUGUAGUGGCAGAUAGAGUGGGUAGAUAAACACACCUUCUGAAUGGCCUUAAUAUCAAAAGUGGGUAAGAGGAACGGCAAGGUAUUUCAUCUAUGAAAGUUUCUCAUCCAUAAGAUUUGCCACUAACUGCUGAUAUUCCUUUCAGCCUCCAAGGGUCAAAAGGUGAAAAUGAUUGAGGUACCUUUUGCUAUGAAUAUUUCACGAGCUGCAUAUCCCUUUUUCACUGAGAUCUGUGUGCUGACUGAGGGCUUCUUCAGGAUGAGUCCUUAGUUGACUGAUGAAUACAAAACACUUCUCGAACAAAAGGCAUUCAAGAUUAGCGGAAGACAAGACAGCCUACUUUAGUUUCUGUGAGCAGUACCUGGAGUAUCAAUGGAGAUAAAACACUGAGUGACAGGUAACUGAAAUACAGAAUAACACCAUAUAUUGUUCUCCUAUUGAUUGGGGAAAUAAUGAGAAAGUUAGCAAGUCACGGUAAUGUCACAGACGGCAAUGAACUUCGGAAAACUCAAGGACCAGAAAGUAACAUGAAACAAGGAGCAAAAUGAAGAUAAUAUUUGGUUACAGUACAGUUCUCAAAUGGUAGUGAAACACAUCCCUUCGCCUUUGAGUAUGCAUGGUUUUUAAAAUGAAGACAAAGGGAAGAAAUUGCCGGCUGAAACAAUAUAGCUA